RNAcentral lists this small RNA (79 nucleotides) under Klebsiella pneumoniae. RNAcentral describes it as "partial RtT sRNA". It matches the Rfam family "RtT RNA", at positions 53 to 130 of the family's 130-position model. Rfam says of the family: This family represents a bacterial cis-regulatory element known as RtT RNA. The exact function of RtT is unknown although it is thought that it may be involved in changing the cellular response in relation to amino acid starvation. The record is from RNAcentral. Lineage: Bacteria; Pseudomonadati; Pseudomonadota; Gammaproteobacteria; Enterobacterales; Enterobacteriaceae.
CGAAGCGAGAGAACGUUGCCGCUGGCAAUGGCCCGAAGGCGAGGCGCUUUAGCGCCGAGUAAUCCUUCCCCCACCACUG